CAGAAGAGAAAGAGAAAGAUCCCACAGAAGGGAGUGAAGAAAGCCAGCAGCUAGCUUUAUUUGUUGGCCCUCAAGCCCUGCAAGCUGGGAACCAAAACCUUCACAGUUUCUCCCCCUUCGUCUCUCUCCAAGCUCGAUCCCAAAUCCAUGUCCAUGUCGAGAACCAGCUAAGCCCCUGCUAGGGUUUGCUCAGUUUGGGAAGGUGGGAUGGGGUUUCCCGCAGUGGGUGGUGAGUUUGCACCACAAAAAGUGCCUCCUUUGGGUGAUAUUUUAAUGCCUAUUUGCUUUUGAGUAAGGAAAUCCUCCUCCUCUUCCUCCUCUUCCUCUUCCUCCUCCUCCAGGGCUAUAAAACUUCUACACCUCAACCGUAGUCCCUCAUCUUCUCCUCCACUUUCUCUUUGCCUCUUUUUCUUCAGAGAUCAGGUGGCAUUGGGUUUGCAGAUCCAGUGGUGUUUCUUUGUAUCCAUGGGGAGAGUUUUAUGGGGCUUCAUUCUCGUUGAGAGGAAGAAGAGAUGACAAAGGGUUGUUCUCUCUACUCUCUUUCUUUCACCCAUGCAGAGAAGAACAGGUGAUGGUGGGAAGAGUACAGGUGAAAUGGGUUGUGCCUGGCUCCCUGUAUGCCACACGUAUAGACCAAUCCUUGGAGUGAUUGGCUACUGUGGGUGGCGUGCAAGGAGCCAAGCAUGCCGCCUUCUCUCUCUCUCUCUCUCUCUCUCUCUCUCUCUCUCUCUCUAUGCAUGAUCUUGCAGUCAUUUUAUGUAAGAGAUCAUAUACUUUAAGUUUGAUAUCGAUGAAGGUUUCAUUCUUUUGCAGGUCUAGUCACCAACCUCACGACGGAGAGAGAGAGAGAGAGAGAGAGAGAGAGAGAGAGUCUAAGAUUGGUGUUCUUCUGCUCACUACAAGUCGUGCUCAUGACACAGAAGUGGGUCUCAGUUUCUUGCAUUACAUGAACAUGGAUGAAACCAAGGAAUCCACGACAUGGAUUUGGAUCCAGCAGCCUUGACAGUAAGGAUGCCAUCAUAUCUUCUCUUUGCUUACGUUGUGUGCUGGUCUGCACUAUGGAUUCCGUUCUUAUGCUUAGUCCAUUCUGUCUGCUAGAUCUCAGAUGUGUCAGUCCCUCCAAGUAGUCUUUCACUUCUACGGAUCUCCUUAAAGAACAACAACAUGAUCACGAGCGAGAAUGCUCUGUAACAUCUCAAAUCUCUCCCUUCUCUUUCUGGUCUUUCUGCUGAACUUGCUCAAAUGACGUCCGCAUCAUUCGCUGCAAGAGUUGGGAGCUCCCAUCUCCUCUCAUGCAGUCAGUUGAUCAUCACACCGACAUCUCCUACACCCAGUGAUAACAACAACAGCUUCGCUGUUCUCAACAACUCCUCCAUCUUACAACGAAGCCACAAUCGAGUUCAACGAUCAAACACGAGUUCAAAGCUCAAUUUGACGCCUCAAUCUGAAACCAUUCCGUUCCAAGUCUCUCUUCAGGUGUUCUUCUAGUGGUCUACUGCUGUUCGUUCUCUCUCACUAUCUCUUGCAUGGUGGAGCACAGCAGCUCCCUCCGCUGGGUUGGAGGGGCUUCUAUACCACCAUACUUUUAUGCCUUGCUUUUGUUGGUGGCAGUGCAAGCAAGAAGAGAGCCCAAGUGUUUUGGCUCAGAGGGUUGCCAGCUUUCUACCCUUCCGAGGUCUGAGCAGCUUUGUGUGACAUCCAAAGGGAAUUUUCAAGGUUAGGGAACGAAGCCCAUCCGUCAUCAAGUACUCCGAAACCCUAUUUCCCUGUCUCCAAGACAUACAUAGAGAAUGGAGCAGCUCGACUGGACUACUCUCCUCAACUUGAGGUCACAUGCACAUCUUAAAGCACCGAGGAUCUCCAUGGACAGGGACUUCUCCUGCAGGAUCCAAGAUCUGAGGUCAAUAAUGUUCUGAUGAUGCAGUACAAGCUCCUCAGAUGGAAUAUAUUCCACAUGAUGCUUGAGGCUGUGAUGUACUUAGGAAGAUGCACAAGCAUUCUAUGAGUGUAACUACAUCAACAUGUAGAUUUCUCGGAAGAGGUCCAGCCGAGACCGUGUGAAGAUGAACAGAAAAACAUCAGUCAUCAAAGCAUCCUAAAGAAUUUUGGGAUAGCAUUUCGAUGCAUACCUUACAGCCGAUAUCACCUGAUUAAUCUAAUCUUAGAUUCUUUGUCA
Musa acuminata AAA Group (dessert banana) is the source of this 2176-nucleotide long non-coding RNA. RefSeq lists it as uncharacterized. NCBI's taxonomy places the organism in Eukaryota, Viridiplantae, Streptophyta, Magnoliopsida, Zingiberales, Musaceae. The record is from RefSeq and is a predicted model, not a curated record. The transcript has 3 exons.